RNAcentral lists this ribosomal RNA (468 nucleotides) under uncultured bacterium. RNAcentral's name for it is "partial 16S ribosomal RNA". It matches the Rfam family "Bacterial small subunit ribosomal RNA", at positions 28 to 507 of the family's 1533-position model. The record is from RNAcentral.
GACGAACGCUGGCGGCGUGCUUAACACAUGCAAGUCGAACGGAAAGGCCCUGCUUUUGUGGGGUGCUCGAGUGGCGAACGGGUGAGUAACAAGUGAGUAACCUGCCCUUGACUUUGGGAUAACUUCAGGAAACUGGGGCUAAUACCGGAUAGGAGCUCCUGCUGACUGGUGGGGGUUGGAAAGUUUCGGCGGUUGGGGAUGGACUCGCGGCUUAUGAGCUUGUUGGUGGGGUAGUGGCUUACCAAGGCUUUGACGGGUAGCCGGCCUGAGAGGGUGACCGGCCACAUUGGGACUGAGAGACGGCCCAGACUCCUACGGGAGGCAGCAGUGGGGAAUAUUGCACAAUGGGCGGAAGCCUGAUGCAGCAACGCCGCGUGCGGGAUGACGGCCUUCGGGUUGUAAACCGCUUUCGCCUGUGACGAAGCGUGAGUGACGGUAAUGGGUAAAGAAGCACCGGCUAACUACGUG